UGAGGAAUAUUGGUCAAUGGUCGGGAGACUGAACCAGCCAAGCCGCGUGAGGGAAGAAGGCCCUAUGGGUCGUAAACCUCUUUUGUCAGGGAACAAAAGCGAGUAUGUAUACUAGUCUGAGUGUACCUGAAGAAAAAGGCAUCGGCUAACUCCAUGCCAGCAGCCGCGGUAAUACGGAGGAUGCGAGCGUUAUCCGGAUUUAUUGGGUUUAAAGGGUGCGUAGGCGGCGAUGCAAGUCAGCGGUAAAAGCCCGGGGCUCAACCCCGGCGAGCCGUUGAAACUGCAGUGCUAGAGAAGGCGAGAGGUACGCGGAAUGCGCAGUGUAGCGGUGAAAUGCUUAGAUAUUGCGCAGAACUCCGAUUGCGAAGGCAGCGUACUGGCGCCUGACUGACGCUGAGGCACGAAAGCGUGGGGGAUCGAACAGGGAUUAGAUACC
This 436-nucleotide ribosomal RNA is filed under the name uncultured bacterium. Its description in RNAcentral is "bacterial SSU rRNA". It matches the Rfam family "Bacterial small subunit ribosomal RNA", at positions 355 to 786 of the family's 1533-position model. The record is from RNAcentral.